This 460-nucleotide ribosomal RNA is filed under the name uncultured bacterium. RNAcentral describes it as "partial 16S ribosomal RNA". It matches the Rfam family "Bacterial small subunit ribosomal RNA", at positions 338 to 795 of the family's 1533-position model. The record is from RNAcentral.
CCUACGGGAGGCAGCAGUGAGGAAUAUUGGUCAAUGGACGUAAGGCUGAACCAGCCAAGUAGCGUGAAGGAUGACUGACCUAUGGGUUGUAAACUUCUUUUAUAUGGGAAUAAAAGUUUCCACGUGUGGGUUUUUGUAUGUACCAUAUGAAUAAGUAUCGGCUAACUCCGUGCCAGCAGCCGCGGUAAUACGGAGGAUCCGAGCGUUAUCCGGAUUUAUUGGGUUUAAAGGGUGCGUAGGUGGUUUGUUAAGUCAGCGGUGAAAGUUUGUGGCUCAACCCUAAAAUUGCCGUUGAAACUGGCAGUCUUGAGUACGGUAGAGGUGGGCGGAAUGCGUGGUGUAGCGGUGAAAUGCUUAGAUAUCACGAAGAACUCCGAUUGCGAAGGCAGCUUACUGGGCUAUAACUGACACUGAGGCACGAAAGCGUGGGUAUCAAACAGGAUUAGAUACCCGGGUAGUC